CAAAUACUCCCUUCGUUCGGAAUUACUUGUCAUAAAAAUGAUAAAAAUGAAUAUAUUUACAACUAAAAUACAUCUAGAUAUAUUUAUUUCUUGAACGAGUAAUUUCGAACGGAGGGAGUAGAUG
Molecule: non-coding RNA, 124 nt
Organism: Triticum aestivum (bread wheat)
Lineage: Eukaryota; Viridiplantae; Streptophyta; Magnoliopsida; Poales; Poaceae
Source: Rfam